CCUACGGGGGGCAGCAGUGAGGAAUAUUGGUCAAUGGGCGCGAGCCUGAACCAGCCAAGUCGCGUGAGGGAAGACGGUCCUAUGGAUUGUAAACCUCUUUUGUCGGGGAGCAAAAGACGCCACGCGUGGCGUUCCGAGAGUACCCGACGAAAAAGCAUCGGCUAACUCCGUGCCCGCAGCCGCGUUAAUACGGGGGAUGCGCGCGUUAUCCGGAUUGAUUGGGUUUAAAGGGUGCGCAGGCGGAAGAUGAAGUCAGCGGUAAAAGUGAGAGGCUCAACCUCUUCGAGCCGUUGAAACUGGUUGUCUUGAGUGAGUGAGAAGGAUGCGGAAUGCGUGGUGUAGCGGUGAAAUGCAUAGAUAUCACGCAGAACUCCGAUUGCGAAGGCAGCAUACCGGCGCUCAACUGACGCUCAUGCACGAAAGUGUGGGUAUCGAACAGGAUUAGAUACCCCUGUAGUC
Molecule: ribosomal RNA, 459 nt
Filed under: uncultured bacterium
Lineage: Bacteria
Description: partial 16S ribosomal RNA
Rfam family: Bacterial small subunit ribosomal RNA
Source: RNAcentral